CCUACGGGAGGCAGCAGUAGGGAAUAUUGCUCAAUGGGGGAAACCCUGAAGCAGCAACGCCGCGUGGAGGAUGAAGGUUUUAGGAUUGUAAACUCCUUUUGUUAGAGAAGAUUAUGACGGUAUCUAACGAAUAAGCACCGGCUAACUCCGUGCCAACAGCCGCGGUAAUACGGAGGGUGCAAGCGUUACUCGGAAUAACUGGGCGUAAAGAGUGCGUAGGCGGGGUGAUAAGUCAGAUGUGAAAUCCUGUAGCUUAACUACAGAACUGAAUUUGAAACUGUUACUCUGGAGUGUGGGAGAGGUAGGUGGAAUUCUUGGUGUAGGGGUGAAAUGCGUAGAGAUCAAGAAGAAUACUCAUUGCGAAGGCGGCCUGCUGGAACAUUACUGACGCUGAUGCACGAAAGCGUGGGGAGCAAACAGGAUUAGAUACCCGAGUAGUC
This 440-nucleotide ribosomal RNA is filed under the name uncultured bacterium. RNAcentral describes it as "partial 16S ribosomal RNA". It matches the Rfam family "Bacterial small subunit ribosomal RNA", at positions 338 to 795 of the family's 1533-position model. The record is from RNAcentral.